RNAcentral lists this unclassified non-coding RNA (437 nucleotides) under fungal sp. Its description in RNAcentral is "partial internal transcribed spacer region". The stretch from base 1 to 46 matches the Rfam family "Eukaryotic small subunit ribosomal RNA", at positions 1786 to 1831 of the family's 1831-position model. Lineage: Eukaryota; Fungi. The record is from RNAcentral.
AAGUCGUAACAAGGUUUCCGUAGGUGAACCUGCGGAAGGAUCAUUAUCGUGAUUUUUAAUACAAAUCAACGUAUUCACCAAAUUGUGAACUGUUUCUUACUAUAACCUUUUGAUUAAGGUUGUUAGGAAAAAAGUAAAGAUAUUCUUGGUCUGUGGCGUUAUUUCGCAAGAAAUAAACUCUUUUCGUUGAAUGAUUUGAAAAGAGGAAGGCCUAGACAUUAUGAAUCUUUGAGUUUUACUCAAACUUUACCUUUUCUAACUUUAAUCAAAAGUGUAAAAUCUAAAUCAUUCUUUAAAACCUUUUUAAACUUAAUUUACCACUUGUAUCUAAUUGUACUAACUUAACUUCAAGAAUGGAACGCUUUCGAAAGAAACGUUUUAUUGUUGAAAUUUACGAAAUUGCUGAACAACUCUUAGCAACGGAUAUCUUGGUUCUC